UGCCUUAGUAACGGCGAGUGAAGCGGCAACAGCUCAAAUUUGAAAGCUGGCCCUUUCAGGGUCCGCAUUGUAAUUUGUAGAGGAUGAUUCGGCGAGGGCUCCCGCCUAAGUCCCCUGGAACGGGGCGUCAUAGAGGGUGAGAAUCCCGUAUGCGGUGGGCUGCCUUAGCCAUGUGAAUCUCCUUCGACGAGUCGAGUUGUUUGGGAAUGCAGCUCUAAAUGGGAGGUAAAUUUCUUCUAAAGCUAAAUACCGGCCAGAGACCGAUAGCGCACAAGUAGAGUGAUCGAAAGAUGAAAAGCACUUUGGAAAGAGAGUUAAAAAGUACGUGAAAUUGUUGAAAGGGAAGCGCUUGCAACCAGACUUGUCCGCAGUUGCUCAGCCGGUCUCCUGACCGGCGUACUCUUCUGCGGCCAGGCCAGCAUCAGUUCGGGCGGUCGGAUAAAGACCUCGGGAAUGUAGCUCCUCUCGGGGAGUGUUAUAGCCCGGGGUGGAAUGCGGCCAGCCUGGACUGAGGAUCUCGCUUCGGCAAGGAUGCUGGCGUAAUGGUUGUAAGCGGCCCGUCUUGAAACACGGACCAAGGAGUCUAACAUCUAUGCGAGUGUUUGGGUGUCAAACCCAUACGCGUAAUGAAAGUGAACGGAGGUGGGAACCCGCAAGGGUGCACCAUCGGCCGAUCCUGAUGUCUUCGGAUGGAUUUGAGCAAGAGCAUAGCUGUUGGGACCCGAAAGAUGGUGAACUAUGCCUGAAUAGGGUGAAGCCAGAGGAAACU
Molecule: ribosomal RNA, 769 nt
Filed under: Diplodia seriata
Lineage: Eukaryota; Fungi; Ascomycota; Dothideomycetes; Botryosphaeriales; Botryosphaeriaceae
Description: eukaryotic LSU rRNA
Rfam family: Eukaryotic large subunit ribosomal RNA
Source: RNAcentral